GACGAACGCUGGCGGCGUGCUUAAUACAUGCAAGUCGAACGGAGCCUAGCCGGUAGUUUACUACAGGCGAAAGCUUAGUGGCGGACGGGUGAGUAACGCGUGGGCAAUCUGCCCCUAAGUCCGGGAUAACAGAGCGAAAGUUCUGCUAAGACCGGAUACUCUUCCCGGGUCGCAUGGCCUGGGAAGGAAAGGAUACGCUUAGGGAUGAGCCCGCGUCCCAUUAGCUAGUUGGUGAGGUAACGGCCCACCAAGGCGACGAUGGGUAGCCGGCCUGAGAGGGUGGACGGCCACACUGGGACUGAGACACGGCCCAGACUCCUACGGGAGGCAGCAGUAGGGAAUUUUCCGCAAUGGGGGAAACCCUGACGGAGCAACGCCGCGUGAGGGAAGAAGGUCUUCGGAUCGUAAACCUUUGUCAUCGAGGACGAAAACUGACGGUACUCGAGGAGGAAGCCCCGGCUAACUACGUG
This 470-nucleotide ribosomal RNA is filed under the name uncultured bacterium. Its description in RNAcentral is "bacterial SSU rRNA". It matches the Rfam family "Bacterial small subunit ribosomal RNA", at positions 28 to 507 of the family's 1533-position model. The record is from RNAcentral.